UAUUGAAAUGAUGAAUGAAAAAGGGACUUAAUAUUGAAACUUAAUAUAACAUUAUGCUAUUAUGAUGUGU
This is a small nucleolar RNA of Cavia porcellus (domestic guinea pig), 70 nucleotides long. Its record names the gene SNORD82. It matches the Rfam family "Small nucleolar RNA SNORD82". Rfam says of the family: snoRNA U82 or Z25 is found in both humans and mice. U82/Z25 is a member of the C/D class of snoRNA which contain C (UGAUGA) and D (CUGA) box motifs. Lineage: Eukaryota; Metazoa; Chordata; Mammalia; Rodentia; Caviidae. The record is from Ensembl.